GCGGCUAGAGGGUCAGUGGACAGAGAGGAGCGUGAUCGCAUCUGCUCCAUCUCUCCCUCUCCUUCCCCAGAACAAAUCGCUCACGGUUCAGCCCCCUUCCCAGGGAGUGGCAAGACCCCAGGGUCACCAGGAAUGCGGAAUCUGCCACCUGGAACCACCCUAGUCCAUAGGGAUGCCCGGCCACGCUGCCUUGUGCCUGUGUGAGCCAGGAGACCAUGGGGACCCUAUUGUCACUGCCACCUCUCAACCUCACGGGAAAGCUGGGGAAGCCAGAGCUGGGGUUGACCAAGCCAGCGAUGUCCCCGCCCAGGCUGCAGCGCUGGCCCGCCCGACGGCCCGCGGGAUGCUAAGGAUCGGGUCGCUGCAAACAUUGUCCCCAAGGUCCCAUCGCCACACUCUAAUGCUCAUACUCCAUCGCCAACUUUCUUGAUCUAGUACGAGGCUUCCUUGGGAUUUUAUUAUUUUAUUUUAUUUUAUUGGCUGGGGAUGGACCCAGGGAGUUGCGCAAAAGCUAGGCGAGCGCCCUGUCGCCGGCCACCAGCCCCCGGGGCCUGGGGAUUCUAUUUCGAGCGCUAAAAUUCCGAUUCCAAGGCUCCGCUUCUCCAAUGCAACGCUGAGCUGCGUCCGGACCAGGAAUGCAACAGCCUGGUGCAUUCCAAAGCGAGCGGUUCGGUUUCCAACGUGAGGUUCGGAUCCGAACUCCCCGGCUCUCCCGCGGACCCGCCCAGCCCCUGGUUCCUCUGGAGCCAACCUACAGCUUGGAUCCCGGCGGGGACAGCAUGCAUGCUGGGCUCCGAUCGACCCCGGGUGCCGGGGACCUGGCGCGCACCGCAGCGGCACGAUGCGCCCGUGCGCCCUGGGCUGGGGCUCCCGUCGGGUCCCGGGGCCGGCGAUCGUGCGCUCCUGUCCCAGUGCUCCGGAAAGGACGCCACUUGAAUGCACAAGCAGCUCCAGAAACCAAGACAACAAUCACAACAACCAAAGUCGCCUCUCCAUCUCCAAGGGAGGCAUGAGGGUGUUGGGAGAGCCGCGCAGCCCAGUGGAGGGCCAGAUGGGGGGAACAUCGCCCCCUGGUGGCCUCUACCUGUCUUUUCUUCUGUCGGAGAUCUGAGUGGCUCACUGGAGGGACAGUAGGGAUGCAUGAGGCCGGGCGGCUUCCCCUGGGCUGGGGCCAUGAGAGAGUCGUGGGUUCGAAUCCUGGCUGCGAUUUCAAGGGGGAAAAACAAGACGUCAAGGUCGUGAAGGGGUUGGAAGAGGCACGCUGGGGACUGAGAAGGGUGAGAGAGAGAAUUCGGUGACAUGAACGCGGAGG
Molecule: non-coding RNA, 1312 nt
Organism: Ictidomys tridecemlineatus (thirteen-lined ground squirrel)
Lineage: Eukaryota; Metazoa; Chordata; Mammalia; Rodentia; Sciuridae
Source: RefSeq, a predicted model, not a curated record